GAAGGUAUAGCUCAGUAGUAGAGUAUGUGCUUAGCAUGCACGAGGUCCUGGGUUCAAUCCCCAGUACCUCUA
Molecule: transfer RNA, 72 nt
Filed under: Camelus bactrianus (Bactrian camel)
Lineage: Eukaryota; Metazoa; Chordata; Mammalia; Artiodactyla; Camelidae
Also listed under: 1 other name
Rfam family: tRNA
About the family: Transfer RNA (tRNA) molecules are approximately 80 nucleotides in length. Their secondary structure includes four short double-helical elements and three loops (D, anti-codon, and T loops).
Source: Rfam by way of RNAcentral